CAGUCGCCACGGUAAUGCGUAGGUGGCAAGCGUUGUCCGGAGUUAUCGGGCGUAAAGCGCGCGCAGGCGGAUAGGUCAGUCUGUCUUAAAAGUUCGGGGCUUAACCCCGUGAUGGGAUGGAAACUGCCAAUCUAGAGUAUCGGAGAGGAAAGUGGAAUUCCUAGUGUAGCGGUGAAAUGCGUAGAUAUUAGGAAGAACACCAGUGGCGAAGGCGACUUUCUGGACGAAAACUGACGCUGAGGCGCGAAAGCCAGGGGAGCGAACGGGAUUAGAUACCCCUGUAGUCCCUGUCUCUUAUACA
RNAcentral lists this ribosomal RNA (301 nucleotides) under uncultured bacterium. Its description in RNAcentral is "partial 16S ribosomal RNA". It matches the Rfam family "Bacterial small subunit ribosomal RNA", at positions 509 to 809 of the family's 1533-position model. The record is from RNAcentral.